Molecule: ribosomal RNA, 1468 nt
Filed under: Salmonella enterica subsp. enterica serovar Typhi
Lineage: Bacteria; Pseudomonadati; Pseudomonadota; Gammaproteobacteria; Enterobacterales; Enterobacteriaceae
Description: bacterial SSU rRNA
Rfam family: Bacterial small subunit ribosomal RNA
Source: RNAcentral
AGAGUUUGAUCAUGGCUCAGAUUGAACGCUGGCGGCAGGCCUAACACAUGCAAGUCGAACGGUAACAGGAAGCAGCUUGCUGCUUUGCUGACGAGUGGCGGACGGGUGAGUAAUGUCUGGGAAACUGCCUGAUGGAGGGGGAUAACUACUGGAAACGGUGGCUAAUACCGCAUAACGUCGCAAGACCAAAGAGGGGGACCUUCGGGCCUCUUGCCAUCAGAUGUGCCCAGAUGGGAUUAGCUUGUUGGUGAGGUAACGGCUCACCAAGGCGACGAUCCCUAGCUGGUCUGAGAGGAUGACCAGCCACACUGGAACUGAGACACGGUCCAGACUCCUACGGGAGGCAGCAGUGGGGAAUAUUGCACAAUGGGCGCAAGCCUGAUGCAGCCAUGCCGCGUGUAUGAAGAAGGCCUUCGGGUUGUAAAGUACUUUCAGCGGGGAGGAAGGUGUUGUGGUUAAUAACCGCAGCAAUUGACGUUACCCGCAGAAGAAGCACCGGCUAACUCCGUGCCAGCAGCCGCGGUAAUACGGAGGGUGCAAGCGUUAAUCGGAAUUACUGGGCGUAAAGCGCACGCAGGCGGUCUGUCAAGUCGGAUGUGAAAUCCCCGGGCUCAACCUGGGAACUGCAUUCGAAACUGGCAGGCUUGAGUCUUGUAGAGGGGGGUAGAAUUCCAGGUGUAGCGGUGAAAUGCGUAGAGAUCUGGAGGAAUACCGGUGGCGAAGGCGGCCCCCUGGACAAAGACUGACGCUCAGGUGCGAAAGCGUGGGGAGCAAACAGGAUUAGAUACCCUGGUAGUCCACGCCGUAAACGAUGUCUACUUGGAGGUUGUGCCCUUGAGGCGUGGCUUCCGGAGCUAACGCGUUAAGUAGACCGCCUGGGGAGUACGGCCGCAAGGUUAAAACUCAAAUGAAUUGACGGGGGCCCGCACAAGCGGUGGAGCAUGUGGUUUAAUUCGAUGCAACGCGAAGAACCUUACCUGGUCUUGACAUCCACAGAACUUUCCAGAGAUGGAUUGGUGCCUUCGGGAACUGUGAGACAGGUGCUGCAUGGCUGUCGUCAGCUCGUGUUGUGAAAUGUUGGGUUAAGUCCCGCAACGAGCGCAACCCUUAUCCUUUGUUGCCAGCGGUCCGGCCGGGAACUCAAAGGAGACUGCCAGUGAUAAACUGGAGGAAGGUGGGGAUGACGUCAAGUCAUCAUGGCCCUUACGACCAGGGCUACACACGUGCUACAAUGGCGCAUACAAAGAGAAGCGACCUCGNUCGCCGUCGAGGAACUCUUCAAUCACGAUACGGUGGCCCGCGUCGCCAAAGGCGUUGCCUGCCAGCAUGUCAUGAACGGCGGCUUCGGCUUCUUCCAGCGUCAUCGCCACGAUGACGCCUUUGCCCGCAGCCAGACCAUCGGCCUUGAUGACGAUCGGCGCGCCCUUCUCACGCAGAUAAGCCAAGGCAGGCUCAAUCUCGGUGAAAU